GACGAACGCUGGCGGCGUGCCUAAUACAUGCAAGUAGAACGCUGAAGGAGGAGCUUGCUUCUCUGGAUGAGUUGCGAACGGGUGAGUAACGCAUAGGUAACCUGCCUGGUAGCGGGGGAUAACUAUUGGAAACGAUAGCUAAUACCGCAUAAGAGUAGAUGUCGCAUGACAUUUGCUUAAAAGGUGCAAUUGCAUCACUACCAGAUGGACCUGCGUUGUAUUAGCUAGUUGGUGAGGUAACGGCUCACCAAGGCAACGAUACAUAGCCGACCUGAGAGGGUGAUCGGCCACACUGGGACUGAGACACGGCCCAGACUCCUACGGGAGGCAGCAGUAGGGAAUCUUCGGCAAUGGACGGAAGUCUGACCGAGCAACGCCGCGUGAGUGAAGAAGGUUUUCGGAUCGUAAAGCUCGGUUGUAAGAGAAGAACGAGUGUGAGAGUGGAAAGUUCACAAUGUGACGGUAUCUUACCAGAAAGAGACGGCUAACUACGUG
Molecule: ribosomal RNA, 495 nt
Filed under: uncultured bacterium
Lineage: Bacteria
Description: partial 16S ribosomal RNA
Rfam family: Bacterial small subunit ribosomal RNA
Source: RNAcentral